RNAcentral lists this non-coding RNA (958 nucleotides) under Trichomonas vaginalis G3. RNAcentral's name for it is "Eukaryotic large subunit ribosomal RNA". It matches the Rfam family "Eukaryotic large subunit ribosomal RNA", at positions 847 to 1863 of the family's 3401-position model. The record is from Rfam by way of RNAcentral. Lineage: Eukaryota; Parabasalia; Trichomonadida; Trichomonadidae.
UGAAGUCAGGGGAAACUCUGAUGGAGGACCGUACGGGUUAUUAUUGUGCAAAUCAUUUUUCUGAUGUAGGUAAAGGUGCGAAAGACUCAUCGAACCACCUAAUAGCUGGUUUCCUCCGAAGUUUCCCUCAGGAUAGCUGUAAUGCAUUUAGUUAAGGGGAGUAGAGAUAUGGGUAGAGGUGCAGGGAGCCUUCGGGUUCUCAACUUAUUUCCAAACUUCGAACCUCCUUGUUAGGCAUUUACCUAACUGGAAAUGCUUAAAUGAAUUAGCGUUACAAGUGGGCUCUGACCGGUAAGCGGUCAUGGCGAAAUGGGAUGAACCAUACGUCUGAAUAAGGUGCCGAAAUGUACUAUCACUGAUACCAUAAAGGGAGUCCAUGUAUUUAGACAGCAGGUCGGUGCCCCUAAAAGCAGGUAUCCGCUAAAGAGUGUGUUAAAACUCACCUGCCGAAUACUAGGGCCCCGAAAAUGAAUGGCGCAUAUAGUACUACCGAUCUCAGACAUCAGUUCUAUUGAACUGAGAGUAGGGGGAUGUGGACAUUUUUGUGAAGGUGCAAUGUGAGUUGGACUGGAAGAAUGUCUAUUACAGAUCCUAAUUGAAGUAGCGAUUAUCCAGGCUUGUAUCCUGGGGGCUGAUGAGGAGUAGGGUUUCUGGACAACUUAAACAGAUCCAGAGUUAGUCGAUCCUAAUCUCAAUAAUGGGAGAAAGGGAGUACAGUUGAUAUUCUGUAACUGACAACAGUUCGCGGCAACGCAUACUAUUUUUCUCCGCCAAUCUUAUACCGUUGGUAGGGAUCUCUUUCCUACAUGACAGUACUAAUACCCAGGGAAACUGGUCAUCAGGCGAACUGCGGCGUUCUGCUGGCAAAACAUAGCUUCGGUUAUGUCAAUGGCUAUUGGAUUGGUCCAUGAAACGAAAAAUAGUUUACUGUGUCACUCGUACCGAUAACCGCAUCAGG